AUGGACCCCUUCUCCUCCGACCUCUGGGACCCCUUCGGCGCUUCCUGGCCCAUGGACGCCGGACGCCGAGGCGGCGAAGGGGGCAGCCGCGACGACGCGACCGCCAUGGCUCGCACCAACGCUGGUGCUGCUGCCGUGCGUGUAGGGGUGAGGAAGGAGGACGUGAAGGUGGAGGUGGAGGACGGCAACGUGCUCAAGAUCAGCGGGGCGAAGACGCGGGAGGAGGAGCACAAGGGCGACGCCUGGAACCGGGUGGAGCGCAGCUUCGGGUCCUUCAUGCGCCGGUUCCGCCUGCCUGAGAACGCCAAGGCGGACGGCAUCCGGUGCACCAUGCAGGACGGCGUGCUCAGAGUCGUCGUGCCCAAGGACGAGGAAGCCCAGAAGCAGCGCAACGUCCGCUCCAUCGACAUCGCCUAA
This 417-nucleotide ribosomal RNA is filed under the name Triticum aestivum (bread wheat). Its description in RNAcentral is "partial small subunit ribosomal RNA". The record is from RNAcentral. Lineage: Eukaryota; Viridiplantae; Streptophyta; Magnoliopsida; Poales; Poaceae.